Molecule: long non-coding RNA, 1157 nt
Filed under: Sparus aurata (gilthead seabream)
Lineage: Eukaryota; Metazoa; Chordata; Actinopteri; Spariformes; Sparidae
Description: lncRNA (ENSSAUG00010003663.1)
Source: RNAcentral
GUUCAUGACCAGGUCACCUCUACUCCCCUUACUCCCAGUGAUAACCUGUGGUCUAAGGAGUGGUGUCAUUUUCAGCGACUCAGCUCAUUUCUGCCUUCUCAGCAGCUUGCAAAGCUGGCGACUUCAGUUCCUGUUCCUGGAUUGGUGGCCCGGUCUACUCUACUUCCUGUUCCUCCGCCAGUGGCCCAGCCUAAUCUAGUUCCUGUUCCUCCAUCAGCAGCCCGGCCAACAUCAGACACUGGUUCUCUUUUGGCGGCCCAGUCGACAUCAGACUCUGGUUCUCAGUCAGUGGCCCGGCCAACUCCAGUUCCUCUUCUUGGAUCGGCAGCCUUGUCGACUCCAGUUUCUGUUCCUCCUCCAGUGGCCUGGUCUACACAAGUUCCUGGUCCUUGGUCGGCGGCCUCCAGGGUGCCCCCCCGGGCUCUGUAGCUAAGUCUACUGCGCACCCAGCAAUCCUGCCCUAUUCUGCCUGCCAGAUCUGCCAGAGAUUUUGUGAGGAGGCAUAUCAGUAAUUUUGUCACCGUGCUCUGUAUCUGCUGAGUCAGAUUAUUAAACUCAGCAAGUGACCAUUCCUGGUUCCCGUGUGCGGCAUUACAGUCAAUGAUGUAGCUUUUUAUUCAAUUUUUUUAAAGAAGUGUAUCAUCAGUAAAUGCGAAAUAGGAAGUCUUGGUCUUGAUAUCCGUGGUCUGUUUAUCUGCUGGCUACAGCUGAAGCCCUAAAACGUUAGCCAUUGUCCAAAGAAUAAAUCGUCAUCAGAUAUCUAUUGUGGGGACUUGGGCUUAGGAACUGAGGGUGGCCAGCUCAGGUCCAGCAUGGGCCACAGUAUGGAGUGUGGACUGUAAGCUGAAGAGGUGCCAGUUAACCACUUUGGCACUGCCAGGGUACCCUUUAACUUGGCAUGAAACUCCAAACUCCUUGGCGAGUGCCGAUAUGUGGCAGUCCCAUCACCCGACAUUUUUCACCUCAAUGCAUGUCUACAGGUCCUGGGUGAACAUGUCUGUAUUUUGGCCAAUGUGUGUGUCAACUGUUUAAUAAAGUGAAAAAAAUGAAUUUCCCACUUGGGGAUUAAUAACGUUAUUCUUCUCCGUCGUCUUCUAUAACCUAUAUAUCAGAGUAAAGGACACAAUGAUCCUGAAUUGUGCUUUGGCAUCUAAAAA